UAAACGAUGCUAACUCGUUUUUGGGAUUUAGGUUUCAGAGACUAAGCGAAAGUGAUAAGUUAGCCACCUGGGGAGUACGUUCGCAAGAAUGAAACUCAAAGGAAUUGACGGGGGCCCGCACAAGCGGUGGAUUAUGUGGUUUAAUUCGAUGAUACGCGAGGAACCUUACCAAGGCUUAAAUGGGAAUUGACAGGUUUAGAAAUAGAUCCUUCUUCGGACAUUUUUCAAGGUGCUGCAUGGCUGUCGUCAG
This 250-nucleotide ribosomal RNA is filed under the name uncultured bacterium. Its description in RNAcentral is "partial 16S ribosomal RNA". It matches the Rfam family "Bacterial small subunit ribosomal RNA", at positions 803 to 1058 of the family's 1533-position model. The record is from RNAcentral.